Molecule: ribosomal RNA, 406 nt
Filed under: uncultured bacterium
Lineage: Bacteria
Description: partial 16S ribosomal RNA
Rfam family: Bacterial small subunit ribosomal RNA
Source: RNAcentral
AUUGAACGCUGGCGGCAGGCCUAACACAUGCAAGUCGAACGAGUGGCGGACGGGUGAGUAAUGUCUGGGAAACUGCCUGAUGGAGGGGGAUAACUACUGGAAACGGUAGCUAAUACCGCAUACCAUCAGAUGUGCCCAGAUGGGAUUAGCUAGUUGGUUGGGUAACGGCUCACCAAGGCGACGACCCCUAGCUGGUCUGAGAGGAUUACCAGCCACACUGGAACUGGGACACGGCACAGACCCUUUCGUGAGGCAGCAGUGGGGAAUAUUGCACAAUGGGCGCAAGCCUGAUGCAGCCAUGCCGCUGGUAUGAAGAAGGCCUUCGGGUUGUAAAGUACUUUCAGCGGGGAGGCGUUACCCGCAGAAGAAGCACCGGCUAACUCCGUGCCAGCAGCCGCGGUAAUAC